GAUGAACGCUAGCGAUAGGCUUAACACAUGCAAGUCGAGGGGCAGCAUGGUCUUAGCUUGCUAAGACUGAUGGCGACCGGCGCACGGGUGCGUAACGCGUAUGCAACUUGCCUCACAGAGGGGGAUAACCCGUCGAAAGACGGACUAAUACCGCGUACACUCUAUUUUGGGCAUCCAAGGUAGAGGAAAUGAAAUUCGCUGUGAGAUAGGCAUGCGUCCCAUUAGCUAGUUGGUGAGGUAACGGCUCACCAAGGCGACGAUGUGUAGGGGAACUGAGAGGUUGAACCCCCACACUGGUACUGAGACACGGACCAGACUCCUACGGGAGGCAGCAGUGAGGAAUAUUGGUCAAUGGGCGAGAGCCUGAACCAGCCAAGUCGCGUGAAGGAUGACUGUCUUAUGGAUUGUAAACUUCUUUUGUAGGGGAAUAAAGAGGGGCACGUGUGCCCCAGUGAAUGUACCCUACGAAUAAGCAUCGGCUAACUCCGUG
This 490-nucleotide ribosomal RNA is filed under the name uncultured bacterium. RNAcentral's name for it is "partial 16S ribosomal RNA". It matches the Rfam family "Bacterial small subunit ribosomal RNA", at positions 28 to 507 of the family's 1533-position model. The record is from RNAcentral.